Planococcus citri (citrus mealybug) is the source of this 1082-nucleotide long non-coding RNA. RefSeq lists it as uncharacterized. The record is from RefSeq and is a predicted model, not a curated record. The transcript has 5 exons. NCBI's taxonomy places the organism in Eukaryota, Metazoa, Arthropoda, Insecta, Hemiptera, Pseudococcidae.
UGCUCUUCGUCAAUCCUAAUCUGACCAAUUCUUCCAUAGCUUUCCAUGUGUCUUCGAGUCGUACGUCGUCUUCUUGGAAAUCAAGCAAUUCGUAUUCGUUGGCUGCGGGCUGUAAUUAGUAAUCAGAUUCGCAUUUUAUAUUGGACAUUAGUGCACUGCAAUGAGAAGUACAAAUAUAAUAGGUAUGAACAGCUGGAUACCAAUGAUGAAGAUGAAGGAUGUUCCCAGGCAAGAUGAUCCGAUGCAAUCCUUAACCAGUGAAAUAAUAGAACAGAACUCCCAUGUCAUAUUGUCAAAGUCAUGUAUACUGCAUAGGUACCUAAAGAUAUUCAGAGGACCUAUCAAUCCUGCAGAAAUGCAGAUGACAGCUGAAUUCGAAGAUGACAGACAAUGCACCUUUACUGGAUCUGCUAAUAAAGAAUACCUACUCUGUUUUCACGGUUGGAAACUUCACUAAAGGCUGGCGAUGGCGUGCAUCAAGCAUCAUACAUAUUAUAGCGGGAGAAGCAGUUGGGUCAAUUCCAUAGGAUGAAGCUGUUGUGUAAUGUUUCUGUCAUCCUCAUUGUAUUCGAAUUUUGGCGCUUAUGCUCUGUUUUGGAUGUGUUUGUCAUUUUUGUCUGCCAUUUGUGAUAUUGUUUUCUUCAUUUUUCAAAUGCUUAUACCUGCUACAAAUAAUGAUCAGUUCGCGGUACCUGCUAUAAUUUAAAAUGUGGGUACAAUGUUUUAAAAAGCUUCAAUUUUUUGCAGGAAUAUCAACUAAUUUUUUGGAAUUGUUGAAUUAUAUUUCGUACAAUUAUGUGGUGUUUUGUUUUGCUUGUUUGUUUAUUGUUUUUUUGUUUUUGUUUUUGAUUCAAUUUGACCAUUAUUCAUAUUCUUUUUCUGUAAUGUUUCACUUGCUGUGUGAGUCUAUUAAAAUUUUGUAUGUACCUAUCAAAAUAUUUUUCUAGCACCUUAAUCAAUUUAAAUUUCAUAAAAUGUGAUUUAAUAAAUAGCCAACUAUUGUUUGUUAUGUACGUAAGUACUAGGUAUGUGUAUUUUGAAAAAAAUUCAAAUAUUUUAUGCUUUUAAAAAGAGUAAUUUUA